Small nucleolar RNA from Microtus oregoni (creeping vole), 83 nucleotides. RefSeq annotates it as small nucleolar RNA SNORA5. The transcript has a single exon. Lineage: Eukaryota; Metazoa; Chordata; Mammalia; Rodentia; Cricetidae. The record is from RefSeq and is a predicted model, not a curated record.
AGCAGACCUGUCAAAUUGCUGUCUCACAGAUAGAUAGCACCUUGAUGUCUGCCCUAGAAGUCCUGCUGCUGUUGCCGAUGUUA